RNAcentral lists this ribosomal RNA (468 nucleotides) under uncultured bacterium. RNAcentral's name for it is "partial 16S ribosomal RNA". It matches the Rfam family "Bacterial small subunit ribosomal RNA", at positions 28 to 507 of the family's 1533-position model. The record is from RNAcentral.
GACGAACGCUGGCGGCGUGCUUAACACAUGCAAGUCGAACGGAAAGGCCCUGCUUUUGUGGGGUGCUCGAGUGGCGAACGGGUGAGUAACACGUGAGUAACCUGCCCUUGACUUUGGGAUAACUUCAGGAAACUGGGGCUAAUACCGGAUAGGAGCUCCUGCUGCAUGGUUGGGGUUGGAAAGUUUCGGCGGUUGGGGAUGGACUCGCGGCUUAUCAGCUUGUUGGUGGGGUAGUGGCUUACCAAGGCUUUGACGGGUAGCCGGCCUGAGAGGGUGACCGGCCACAUUGGGACUGAGAUACGGCCCAGACUCCUACGGGAGGCAGCAGUGGGGAAUAUUGCACAAUGGGCGGAAGCCUGAUGCAGCAACGCCGCGUGCGGGAUGACGGCCUUCGGGUUGUAAACCGCUUUCGCCUGUGACGAAGCGUGAGUGACGGUAAUGGGUAAAGAAGCACCGGCUAACUACGUG